GAUAGUAACGGCAACUUCUUAAUAUAUCCAAAAACUAAGUAUAAACUUAGUCAUUAAAAUGGUUUUAUACAAAAUACCCCAUAACAGGAAUUGGGGACUUUUACUCCUAAAUAACCCUUAAAAGAAACCAAGGGUUUGAUUACCAUCUUCUAAAAUAAAAGAAAACAAGUUCAUUACAAGUAACUGGUCACUGAGAAGCAGGAAUAUCGGAGGUAACCGCUUCAAUUCCAACGGUAGGAGCAUUAACAGGAAAAGUCUCGGCCUGACUAGCAACAAAAGGAACAGAUGAACUUGAGGAAGGUAUGUCACUCGUGGAAAUUUCAAUACUCAUGGAUACUUCAGCUAUGGGUGUCUCAGUCAAAGGAGUUGUAGUCACAGGAACUUCAACCUCAGGAGAUGAAAAAUCUUGUGGACGUUGAAUUCGUUCGUGAUCUCAUUCACCUUGGCUAACUCCAAUUCCAGGCUAAAAUUUUUUGGCCCAUUUCUACCAAGGUAUCACGACGAGACCUUAAAAAGGUCCAACUUAUCUCAACAUUGGUUGUCUCCUCAAGAAGUUCAUAAUCUCUCUCCCAAGCAGCAACUUCAUUCUUAAGUUCUUCGUUUUUAGCUAAGACGGAACUAUAAGAUGAUUGAAGAGAGCUAUGAGAAUUCUCUAGGGCAUGAAUCUUGCCUACAGAAACUUGCAGUUCUUCUUGUACCCGUGAAAGGUUUUGUGCUAGCUCCUCAACAUGCAUUUCCUUCUGAGCCAGCAAAGUCUUUAGAGCCCUAUUUUCCUCGUUGACCUUGGACGGCUUCUCCGAAAAGGAAGAUUCAAGGCGCUCUUUUUCCUUUUUAGUUUGGCUCGAGGUAGCCUUGAUCAUUGCCAGCUCGGAGGUUAAUGUUUGAACUUGCCUCUCUAAGUUAUUUUCCCUCUCCUCCAAAUUCUCUAUGUCAAUUUGCGCACUUUCAUAUUAGCCCUUCCAGUUAUUUGCUUCCAAUUGAGAGUCACGUGCAGCCUUUUCUGCAUCGUAAGCGGUCUUCUCCAAGUUAAUUUUUCCUCUCCUCCAAGCCCUUCCAGUUGUUUGCUUCCAAUUGAGAAUCACGUGCAGCCUCUUCUGCAUCGUAAGCGGUCUUCUCCAAGUCACGAGUCAACUUCUCCAAAAGAGAGACUCGGUUCAUUAGUUCAGUACCGAUGAUGUUGG
RNAcentral lists this long non-coding RNA (1181 nucleotides) under Nicotiana benthamiana. RNAcentral's name for it is "long non-coding RNA (NBEN_LNC036041)". The record is from RNAcentral. Lineage: Eukaryota; Viridiplantae; Streptophyta; Magnoliopsida; Solanales; Solanaceae.